GACGAACGCUGGCGGCGUGCUUAACACAUGCAAGUCGAACGGAAAGGCCUGCUUUCCCUUGUGGUUUGCGGGUACUCGAGUGGCGAACGGGUGAGUAACACGUGAGUGAUCUGCCCCCAACUUGGGUAUAAGCCUGGGAAACUGGGUCUAAUUCCCGAUAGGACUGCAGGGUGGUGCCUGUGGUGGCAAACGAUUUUCUAGUGGUUGGGGAUGAGCUCGCGGCCUAUCAGCUUGUUGGUGGGGUAAUGGCCUACCAAGGCGGCGACGGGUAGCCGGCCUGAGAGGGUGGACGGCCACAUUGGGACUGAGAUACGGCCCAGACUCCUACGGGCGGCAGCAGUGGGGAAUAUUGCACAAUGGGCGGAAGCCUGAUGCAGCGACGCCGCGUGGGGGAUGACGGCCUUCGGGUUGUAAACUCCUUUCGACCGCGAGGAAGCCACGUGGUUGGAAGGGUGGUGACGGUAGUGGUAGAAGAAGCACCGGCUAACUACGUG
Molecule: ribosomal RNA, 494 nt
Filed under: uncultured bacterium
Lineage: Bacteria
Description: partial 16S ribosomal RNA
Rfam family: Bacterial small subunit ribosomal RNA
Source: RNAcentral